Molecule: ribosomal RNA, 242 nt
Filed under: uncultured fungus
Lineage: Eukaryota; Fungi
Description: partial 18S ribosomal RNA
Rfam family: Eukaryotic small subunit ribosomal RNA (bases 77-242)
Source: RNAcentral
GUCCGCCUCACCGCGUGCACUGGUCCGGCCGGGCCUUUCCUUCUGAGGAGCCGCAUGCCCUUCACUGGGUGUGUCGGGGAAUCAGGACUUUUACUUUGAAAAAAUUAGAGUGUUCAAAGCAGGCCUAUGCUCGAAUACAUUAGCAUGGAAUAAUAGAAUAGGACGUGUGGUUCUAUUUUGUUGGUUUCUAGGACCGCCGUAAUGAUUAAUAGGGAUAGUCGGGGGCAUCAGUAUUCAAUUGU